Molecule: ribosomal RNA, 458 nt
Filed under: uncultured bacterium
Lineage: Bacteria
Description: partial 16S ribosomal RNA
Rfam family: Bacterial small subunit ribosomal RNA
Source: RNAcentral
CCUACGGGAGGCAGCAGUGAGGAAUAUUGGUCAAUGGGCGAGAGCCUGAACCAGCCAAGUCGCGUGAGGGAGUACUGCCCUAUGGGUUGUAAACCUCUUUUGUCGGGGAGCAAAAGCCGGACGUGUCCGGCUGUGAGAGUACCCGAAGAAAAAGCAUCGGCUAACUCCGUGCCAGCAGCCGCGGUAAUACGGAGGAUGCGAGCGUUAUCCGGAUUUAUUGGGUUUAAAGGGUGCGCAGGCGGAUUUUUAAGUCAGCGGUCAAAUCGUGGGGCUCAACCCCAUCCAGCCGUUGAAACUGGCGCGCUUGAGUUCAGGCGAGGUAGGCGGAAUUCGUGGUGUAGCGGUGAAAUGCAUAGAUAUCACGAAGAACUCCGAUUGCGAAGGCAGCUUACCAGUCUGCGACUGACGCUCAGGCACGAAAGUGUGGGUAUCGAACAGGAUUAGAUACCCUUGUAGUC